RNAcentral lists this ribosomal RNA (467 nucleotides) under uncultured bacterium. RNAcentral describes it as "partial 16S ribosomal RNA". It matches the Rfam family "Bacterial small subunit ribosomal RNA", at positions 28 to 507 of the family's 1533-position model. The record is from RNAcentral.
GAUGAACGCUGACAGAAUGCUUAACACAUGCAAGUCAACUUGAAUUUGGGUUUUUACCUUAGGUUUGGGUGGCGGACGGGUGAGUAACGCGUAAAGAACUUGCCUCACAGCUAGGGAUAACAUUUGGAAACGAAUGCUAAUACCUAAUAUUAUGAUAAUAGGGCAUCCUAUAAUUAUGAAAGCUAUAAGCGCUGUGAGAGAGCUUUGCGUCCCAUUAGCUAGUUGGAGAGGUAACGGCUCACCAAGGCGAUGAUGGGUAGCCGGCCUGAGAGGGUGAUCGGCAACAAGGGGACGGAGACACGGCCCGUACUCCUACGGGAGGCAGCGGUGGGGAAUAUGGGACAAGGGACCGAGAGUCUGAUCCAGCAAUUGUGUGUGCACGAUGAAGUUUUGCGUAAUGUAAAGUUCUUUCAGUUGGGAAGAAACAAAUGACGGUACCAACAGAAGAAGUGACGGCUAAAUACGUG